RNAcentral lists this small nuclear RNA (102 nucleotides) under Homo sapiens (human). The record is from RNAcentral. Lineage: Eukaryota; Metazoa; Chordata; Mammalia; Primates; Hominidae.
CUUGCUUUGCAGCACAUAUACCAAAAUUGGAAUGAGACUGAGAGAUUAGCAUGGCCCCUGUGCAAAGAGGACACAAAAAUUCAUGAAGUGUUUCAUAUUGUU